This is a small nuclear RNA of 157 nucleotides. Its record names the gene U1. It matches the Rfam family "U1 spliceosomal RNA". From Rfam's summary of the family: U1 is a small nuclear RNA (snRNA) component of the spliceosome (involved in pre-mRNA splicing). Its 5' end forms complementary base pairs with the 5' splice junction, thus defining the 5' donor site of an intron. The record is from Ensembl.
AUACUUACCUGGCAGGGGAGAUACCAUGGCAGCCAUGAGAUGGCAGGGGAGACACCAAGGCAGUUCGCCUAGGGCCCCUGUGAAUUUCCCAAAUGUGAGAAUCUUGACUGCAUGAUUUCUGGUAGUGGGAGACUACACUGGGGCAAUGUUGGCCUAG